Molecule: long non-coding RNA, 631 nt
Organism: Sorghum bicolor (sorghum)
Lineage: Eukaryota; Viridiplantae; Streptophyta; Magnoliopsida; Poales; Poaceae
Exons: 3
Source: RefSeq, a predicted model, not a curated record
GCGAAGUCGCGACUCGCAGCGUUGCCCGGUUGCGAGGCCGCCGCUGCACCAGCAUCUCUUUGUCGUCACCGGCUCGCCGCCCCAGCAUCUCGUCGCCAUCGCCGUUGACGUCGCUGUCGCCGGCGCCGCCGACCCUCCACCUUCUCGUCGCUUCGGUCACAGCAACGGGAACCCGCCUCAGCCUACAUCCCUAUGCCUCGCGCUAGGGUUUCGUUUUUCUUGAUCCGCUCUUCUCAGACUGUCCCGCUAGGCCACGGCUGAUUAGGGCUUCGCGUCGAGCAACACAGCACGAGAACCGGAAUCUGAGAGCAGCGGGAGAUCUGGGCGCUGUGCCUCCUGCUAUUGCUUGGGAUAUCUCUUGUUUGAGGUCUAACUACUCCUUCUGAUGGGCUAGAUGUCUCAAGUGCACACAAUGAAGCUCAGUCUACAGGAGAUUCUAUGCAAGGAGUGAGUGGUGGGAGAAAGCAGGUUUUGGUGGAACAAAUGCAUGUUUGAGACAAGUGAAGUAUGGUCAAAUUUUGUAAUGAUCGUUGACAUUUUUGGCUUCUAUGUAGUUGUGCAAAGACUUUAUUUCUGUUUGAAACACCUAUAUAUUGUUAUGUAAACAUACUUAUUUCUGAGAUUUUUCUAU